CUACGUGCCAGCAGCCGCGGUAAUACGGAAGGUCCGGGCGUUAUCCGGAUUUAUUGGGUUUAAAGGGAGCGUAGGCCGGAGAUUAAGUGUGUUGUGAAAUGUAGACGCUCAACGUCUGACUUGCAGCGCAUACUAGUUUCCUUGAGUACGCACAACGUUGGCGGAAUUCGUCGUGUAGCGGUGAAAUGCUUAGAUAUGACGAAGAACUCCGAUUGCGAAGGCAGCUGACGGGAGCGCAACUGACGCUUAAGCUCGAAGGUGCGGGUAUCGAACAGGAUUAGAUACCCUGGUAGUCCGCACAGUAAACGAUGGAUGCCCGCUGUUGGUACCUGGUAUCAGCGGCUAAGCGAAAGCAUUAAGCAUCCCACCUGGGGAGUACGCCGGCAACGGUGAAACUCAAAGGAAUUGACGGGGGCCCGCACAAGCGGAGGAACAUGUGGUUUAAUUCGAUGAUACGCGAGGAACCUUACCCGGGCUUGAA
Molecule: ribosomal RNA, 481 nt
Filed under: uncultured bacterium
Lineage: Bacteria
Description: bacterial SSU rRNA
Rfam family: Bacterial small subunit ribosomal RNA
Source: RNAcentral